ACCUAGCAGCUAAAGCGGCAUGAAGUGCCGCGCCAUAAGGAAGUGCAUCUUCAUUGAUUUUGAAAUACGGUGAAUGCGGCAAAUGAAGACGUUCGACGGAGGGAUUCUCCAUUCCAAGGAGGAAGAUGUAUCCCGGCAAAGCCUGUUGAUAGAACGCAAAGUCCUCUGAUCCCAUCACCGGUUGCAUGUCCUUAACUUUAUCAACACCAAGCACACUCCCGGCGAUACUUUGGAAAUAGCCAUGCAAGCCACCAUUGUUUAUAGUUGGAGGGGAUAAACCCAUCUCUUCUUCAAGGAAGCUGACUGUUGCAUUGCAUCUGUGGACAGCAGCCUGUCCUGUGAUAACCUACACAAACGAAACAGUCUCAGCGCCUAACAAGGGUUCAUGUCUAUCACAAUCCGAAUUCGAAUCCAGAACAUCUCCUUAAUGACAAAACGAAUCUAUUUUUCUUCAUAACGGACCUGCUCAAUCCGGCUUCUCAGUUGCUUUAAGCUUUUGUCCGAAAAAACUCGGAAGGUGCCACCAAUUGUGACAGAAUCUGGAAUAACAUUGAAUGCACCGCCUCCUUGAAAUUUUGCUACAGUCACAACCUGUGAGCAUCAUAUUCAAAAAUCAUCGUAAACAGAUAAUGUUGUGUGUUGCAUAGCAUACAAGAUAGGGUGGCAGCUUUGACAGUGACGGAUUCAAAGAAUGGUGCAAACUAAGUUCUAAUGAGCAGUUAGAAAGGAAAGCAAUGAAUGAUAUAAGAUGUUCACCUGGGAAUCCAGGGGAUCGGCCUCGCGAGAAACAAUAUGUUGUAAGCUAACAAUCACAUUGGAAGCUGCCAAUAUGGGGUCAAUAGAAUGUUGAGGAAUGGCAGCAUGGCCUCCUUUGCCGCUUAUUAUUGCUUCAAAGAAGCCACUUCCUGCAAACAAAGGACCAGACCUAGAUGCCACUUCA
Molecule: long non-coding RNA, 940 nt
Organism: Cicer arietinum (chickpea)
Lineage: Eukaryota; Viridiplantae; Streptophyta; Magnoliopsida; Fabales; Fabaceae
Source: RefSeq, a predicted model, not a curated record